UGGCGGGACGGGGUGGAGUAAUGUCUGGGGAAACUGCCUGAUGGAGGGGGAUAACUACUGGAAACGGUAGCUAAUACCGCAUAACGUCGCAAGACCAAAGAGGGGGACCUUCGGGCCUCUUGCCAUCGGAUGUGCCCAGAUGGGAUUAGCUAGUAGGUGGGGUAACGGCUCACCUAGGCGACGAUCCCUAGCUGGUCUGAGAGGAUGACCAGCCACACUGGAACUGAGACACGGUCCAG
Molecule: ribosomal RNA, 239 nt
Filed under: uncultured bacterium
Lineage: Bacteria
Description: partial 16S ribosomal RNA
Rfam family: Bacterial small subunit ribosomal RNA
Source: RNAcentral